RNAcentral lists this ribosomal RNA (664 nucleotides) under Bacillus subtilis. RNAcentral's name for it is "bacterial SSU rRNA". It matches the Rfam family "Bacterial small subunit ribosomal RNA", at positions 80 to 727 of the family's 1533-position model. The record is from RNAcentral. Lineage: Bacteria; Bacillati; Bacillota; Bacilli; Caryophanales; Bacillaceae.
UGCUCCCUGAUGUUAGCGGCGGACGGGUGAGUAACACGUGGGUAACCUGCCUGUAAGACUGGGAUAACUCCGGGAAACCGGGGCUAAUACCGGAUGCUUGUUUGAACCGCAUGGUUCAAACAUAAAAGGUGGCUUCGGCUACCACUUACAGAUGGACCCGCGGCGCAUUAGCUAGUUGGUGAGGUAAUGGCUCACCAAGGCAACGAUGCGUAGCCGACCUGAGAGGGUGAUCGGCCACACUGGGACUGAGACACGGCCCAGACUCCUACGGGAGGCAGCAGUAGGGAAUCUUCCGCAAUGGACGAAAGUCUGACGGAGCAACGCCGCGUGAGUGAUGAAGGUUUUCGGAUCGUAAAGCUCUGUUGUUAGGGAAGAACAAGUACCGUUCGAAUAGGGCGGUACCUUGACGGUACCUAACCAGAAAGCCACGGCUAACUACGUGCCAGCAGCCGCGGUAAUACGUAGGUGGCAAGCGUUGUCCGGAAUUAUUGGGCGUAAAGGGCUCGCAGGCGGUUUCUUAAGUCUGAUGUGAAAGCCCCCGGCUCAACCGGGGAGGGUCAUUGGAAACUGGGGGAACUUGAGUGCAGAAGAGGAGAGUGGAAUUCCACGUGUAGCGGUGAAAUGCGUAGAGAUGUGGAGGAACACCAGUGGCGAAAGGCGACUC